This is a long non-coding RNA of Cyanistes caeruleus (blue tit), 1055 nucleotides long. RefSeq lists it as uncharacterized. The record is from RefSeq and is a predicted model, not a curated record. NCBI's taxonomy places the organism in Eukaryota, Metazoa, Chordata, Aves, Passeriformes, Paridae.
GUCAGAGGAAGACUGGCACUGCUUAGUGUUAACAUUUUCCCUUCUCCAUUGCUUUAUUUGUCUUAGGCAGUUUGUGCUACAGCACUGUGCUUUACUGCAUACAAGUCCUACAGAGAUAAAUCCAGUACUUCCUACCUGCCCUUCCCAAGGCCCUGCCUCACACUCCAGAUCUCAGGAUAGCUCUUGGGUCUAAUUUGGCCCAUGCUGCUCACCCCAGUAUCCUGCUUUCAAAACUGCAAUGAACAAGUAAGUUGGAAAAUAUUUUAACCUCUUGCCACUCUCCCAAGCCUCUGGUGAGACUGCAGGGUUGGAAUUGUAGAACUGAGGAAGGAAAACAUUUUUCAUUGUUGCUAUGGAGACUUGAGUUUAUGUAGCAAUGACUUAUUCAGUUUUCUCUCUCCUUGAUCUUAGGCCAAAAAAAAAAAAAAAAGAAAAGAAAAGGAACAUGAAAAUAUCACAGACAAAACCUCUGGGACAUGAGAUUUCAAUUGGCAUGACCUCUCUGCAGUAUCGCACAGAAAAACAAAGACGAAAGGAGUGAGAAAAAUGUCCUUGUGUGUCAAGAGAGUCUCUUUCUGCAGAAAAGGAACUAGGAGGAAGUUAGAAAAGGAACCAGGACCACAGUGAACAUAAACCACUGCUUGCAGUUUCUUUGGAGUAUCCAGUGUUCCCUAUCCAGAGCCACUGCUCCAGCCCUGCAGUUCAUGCAGCCUAGUCAUGGUCAGAUGCUAAGAGAACAACAUAACACUUUUAGCUAUAAGACCUACCCACAUUUUAUCUGUAAUAUGCAUCUUUCAUCAACAGGGACAUGGGAUCUGGGGCUUUACCUCCUCCUAAAUGGCUGUGGAUGUGGUCUGCCCUUGCUCAUCCAUCACCUGAAGGAAAAUCUGCUGUCGGAACUGUAUGGCAGCGCAGUGAGGAAAAUCAUGUGCCUGUUCCUUAUGAGCACACGCUGAGAAAAUGGAAAGCCUGGCUUGGAAAAGAGACUUUGCAGGAUGGACUCCAAGGGAUGCAAGACAGAAAAGCUUGAAAUUAAAGUCUUCCUUUUCCAUGAA